GUGUCAGCAGCCGCGGUAAUACGUAGGGGUCUAGCGUUGUCCGGAAUUAUUGGGCGUAAAGAGCUCGUAGGCGGUUCGGCAAGUCGGAUGUGAAAUCUCCACGCUUAACGUGGAGGGGCCAUUCGAAACUGCCGUGACUCGAGUCCGGUAGGGGAGUGCGGAAUUCCCGGUGUAGCGGUGAAAUGCGCAGAUAUCGGGAGGAACACCAGUGGCGAAGGCGGCACUCUGGGCCGGAACUGACGCUGAGGAGCGAAAGCGUGGGGAGCGAACAGGAUUAGAAACCCGCGUAGUCC
RNAcentral lists this ribosomal RNA (293 nucleotides) under uncultured bacterium. RNAcentral's name for it is "partial 16S ribosomal RNA". It matches the Rfam family "Bacterial small subunit ribosomal RNA", at positions 505 to 796 of the family's 1533-position model. The record is from RNAcentral.